Molecule: ribosomal RNA, 253 nt
Filed under: uncultured bacterium
Lineage: Bacteria
Description: partial 16S ribosomal RNA
Rfam family: Bacterial small subunit ribosomal RNA
Source: RNAcentral
UACGAAGGGGGCUAGCGUUGCUCGGAAUCACUGGGCGUAAAGGGUGCGUAGGCGGGUCUUUAAGUCAGGGGUGAAAUCCUGGAGCUCAACUCCAGAACUGCCUUUGAUACUGAAGAUCUUGAGUUCGGGAGAGGUGAGUGGAACUGCGAGUGUAGAGGUGAAAUUCGUAGAUAUUCGCAAGAACACCAGUGGCGAAGGCGGCUCACUGGACCGAUACUGACGCUGAGGCGCGAAAGCGUGGGGAGCAAACAGG